AAUCAACGCUGGCGGCGUGCCUAACACAUGCAAGUUGAGCGCUUGAGGGGGGCAACCCCCAAGAGAGCAGCGAACGGGUGAGUAACGCGUGGGUGAUCUUCCUUCGAGUGGGGAACAACAUCGGGAAACUGGUGCUAAUUCCGCAUAAUAUCCCGGGGCUACGAGCCUCAGGAUCAAAGCCGGGGACCGCAAGGCCUGGCGCUUGAAGAUGAGCCCGCGUCCGAUUAGCUAGUUGGCGGGGUAAUGGCCCACCAAGGCUUCGAUCGGUAGCCGGCCUGAGAGGGCGGACGGCCACACUGGAACUGAGACACGGUCCAGACUCCUACGGGAGGCAGCAGUGGGGAAUUUUUCGCAAUGGGCGCAAGCCUGACGAAGCAACGCCGCGUGGAGGAUGAAGGUCUUCGGAUUGUAAACUCCUGUCGACCGGGACGAAUGCACUCGACCUAAUACGUCGGAAUGUUGACGGUACCGGUGGAGGAAGCCACGGCUAACUCUGUG
Molecule: ribosomal RNA, 498 nt
Filed under: uncultured organism
Description: bacterial SSU rRNA
Rfam family: Bacterial small subunit ribosomal RNA
Source: RNAcentral